Molecule: ribosomal RNA, 571 nt
Filed under: Bovista plumbea
Lineage: Eukaryota; Fungi; Basidiomycota; Agaricomycetes; Agaricales; Lycoperdaceae
Description: SSU rRNA
Rfam family: Eukaryotic small subunit ribosomal RNA
Source: RNAcentral
GGCUUAAUUUGACUCAACACGGGGAAACUCACCAGGUCCAGACAUAACUAGGAUUGACAGAUUGAUAGCUCUUUCAUGAUUUUAUGGGUGGUGGUGCAUGGCCGUUCUUAGUUGGUGGAGUGAUUUGUCUGGUUAAUUCCGAURACGAACGAGACCUUAACCUGCUAAAUAGCCAGGUCGGCUUUUGCUGRUCGCCGGCUUCUUAGAGGGACUGUCAGUGUCUAACUGACGGAAGUUUGAGGCAAUAACAGGUCUGUGAUGCCCUUAGAUGUUCUGGGCCGCACGCGCGCUACACUGACAGAGCCAGCGAGUUCUUUUCCUUGGCCGGAAGGUCUGGGUAAUCUUGUGAAACUCUGUCGUGCUGGGGAUAAAGCAUUGCAAUURUUGCUCUUCAACGAGGAAUACCUAGUAAGCGUGAGUCAUCAGCUCGCGUUGAUUACGUCCCUGCCCUUUGUACACACCGCCCGUCKCUACUACCGAUUGAAUGGCUUAGUGAGGUCUCCGGAUUGGCUNUUGGGGACCGGCAACGGCRCUUGAUUGCUGAGAAGCUGAUCAAACUUGGUCAUUUAGA